This 415-nucleotide long non-coding RNA is filed under the name Gossypium raimondii (Peruvian cotton). RNAcentral's name for it is "long non-coding RNA (GRAI_LNC003492)". Lineage: Eukaryota; Viridiplantae; Streptophyta; Magnoliopsida; Malvales; Malvaceae. The record is from RNAcentral.
UCAAAUUUAGAUAAGGGUGGUGUAAUAGGCCGAUUUUGGUCGGGCCCAAAUAAAAAUAAAACAAAUUCACUUAAACAAAUAAAAGUCCAAAAAAAUUACAAUCCAUUUUUCUUACAAAUAUCAUAGCCCAAUUCAGACUCAAAUUAACCCAUUACAUAUCAAGCCCAAACUCUAAAUCCAAACUAAACCCUAGCCUACAAAACUUAAAAAAAAUUCAGCCAAAAGAAACCCUAAUAUAGCCGCCGCUCCUAGCUGCCGCCCUUAGGCCUGCUCCUGGCCACCGCACGCCAACCACCUCCACAUGUGUCGCAUGCCUCUGACACCUGCAGAGAGAAAUCAAUGUAAAACAUCAGAAGAAACAACUAAAAAAACAAAAAAAUAGAAAUUAAAAGUUGUAACUUGGCUAUAAAACCCG